This 147-nucleotide ribosomal RNA is filed under the name Pteropus alecto (black flying fox). The record is from RNAcentral. Lineage: Eukaryota; Metazoa; Chordata; Mammalia; Chiroptera; Pteropodidae.
GUCUACAGCCAUACCACCCUGAACAAGCCCGAUCCCGUGGGAUCUCGGAAGCUAAGCGGAGUUGGGCCUGGUUAGUUGUGGGAUUUUGGAAGCUAAGCAGGGUUGGGCCUGGUUAGUACUUGGAUGGAAGACCAGGUGCUAUAGGCG